UACGUAGGGUGCAAGCGUUGUCCGGAAUUAUUGGGCGUAAAGAGCUCGUAGGCGGUUUGUCGCGUCUGCUGUGAAAACCUAAGGCUCAACCUUGGGCUUGCAGUGGGUACGGGCAGACUAGAGUGCGGUAGGGGUGACUGGAAUUCCUGGUGUAGCGGUGGAAUGCGCAGAUAUCAGGAGGAACACCGAUGGCGAAGGCAGGUCACUGGGCCGCAACUGACGCUGGAGGAAGCGAAAGGCUAGGGGAGCAAACAGG
Molecule: ribosomal RNA, 256 nt
Filed under: uncultured bacterium
Lineage: Bacteria
Description: partial 16S ribosomal RNA
Rfam family: Bacterial small subunit ribosomal RNA
Source: RNAcentral